GACGAACGCUGGCGGCGUGCCUAAUACAUGCAAGUUGAGCGAUGAAGAUUGGUGCUUGCACCAAUUUGAAGAGCAGCGAACGGGUGAGUAACGCGUGGGGAAUCUGCCUUUGAGCGGGGGACAACAUUUGGAAACGAAUGCUAAUACCGCAUAACAACUUUAAACAUAAGUUUUAAGUUUGAAAGAUGCAAUUGCAUCACUCAAAGAUGAUCCCGCGUUGUAUUAGCUAGUUGGUGAGGUAAAGGCUCACCAAGGCGAUGAUACAUAGCCGACCUGAGAGGGUGAUCGGCCACAUUGGGACUGAGACACGGCCCAAACUCCUACGGGAGGCAGCAGUAGGGAAUCUUCGGCAAUGGACGAAAGUCUGACCGAGCAACGCCGCGUGAGUGAAGAAGGGUUUCGGAUCGUAAAACUCGGUUGGUAGAGAAGAACGUUGGUGAGAGUGGAAAGCUCAUCAAGUGACGGUAACUACACAGAAAGGGACGGCUAACUACGUG
Molecule: ribosomal RNA, 497 nt
Filed under: uncultured bacterium
Lineage: Bacteria
Description: partial 16S ribosomal RNA
Rfam family: Bacterial small subunit ribosomal RNA
Source: RNAcentral